Non-coding RNA from Lentinula aff. lateritia, 82 nucleotides. NCBI's taxonomy places the organism in Eukaryota, Fungi, Basidiomycota, Agaricomycetes, Agaricales, Omphalotaceae. The record is from the annotation of a GenBank genome assembly.
GGCCGCCUGGCGAAAUGGCAUCGCGUCUGACUACGAUUAUGUUCAUAUCAGGAGAUUGCAGGUUCGACCCCUGCGGUGGUCA